CAAAGCAUGUAUAUUCUGAAAUCCAUGAACAAUCAACAAGAAAAUAGCGCUGAACAAAAGCACGGCAGACAUGUUCUGCAAAUUUCCAAAGCCUGUGCUUGAGGGAAAAUUGAAAUGCAAAUAAAAAGGAUGACUUACGGCGAUCUGCAAGCGGCAGUGCUGGACUCAGACGAGGUGGUGGUGGUUUCCGGUGGUGGCAGUGGCCACAGCAAUCGCUUGUUGAUUCCUCUGUUUCCGUCUACUCUCUGGCUCUCUCUCUCUCCUUCGUUCUUGGCCUCACCCGAAAACUUCCCCUCAAUGUUCCCAAACCUUCCCCCUUUUCUGGCUCUGCGUUUUCUUCAUUCCUCCACCUCUCGGCCCUCUUAGAUUUUUUUUCCAACCCAAUCCCUCUUUCGGCCUUCAACUCCUUGCUUUCUGUUUUUCCGUGAACGAAGCUCCCUGGACUUUUCCUCCUCCUUGUCCCGCUGCUACUGCUCCUUUUCCUUUCAUCCGUGGCCUCCCCCCAGAUUUUUCCCUUCGUUUGCUCUUGUUUUCUAAUUUUUUUUAGCCCAUGACCUUCUUGCUCAGCCCACUCCCUCUCGGCUCUCCCUGUUUUCUUUCUUUCCCUCUGCUCUU
Molecule: long non-coding RNA, 615 nt
Filed under: Coffea arabica (coffee)
Lineage: Eukaryota; Viridiplantae; Streptophyta; Magnoliopsida; Gentianales; Rubiaceae
Description: long non-coding RNA (CARA_LNC003407)
Source: RNAcentral